RNAcentral lists this ribosomal RNA (276 nucleotides) under Escherichia coli. RNAcentral describes it as "partial 16S ribosomal RNA". It matches the Rfam family "Bacterial small subunit ribosomal RNA", at positions 1 to 273 of the family's 1533-position model. Lineage: Bacteria; Pseudomonadati; Pseudomonadota; Gammaproteobacteria; Enterobacterales; Enterobacteriaceae. The record is from RNAcentral.
AAAUUGAAGAGUUUGAUCAUGGCUCAGAUUGAACGCUGGCGGCAGGCCUAACACAUGCAAGUCGAACGGUAACAGGAAACAGCUUGCUGUUUCGCUGACGAGUGGCGGACGGGUGAGUAAUGUCUGGGAAACUGCCUGAUGGAGGGGGAUAACUACUGGAAACGGUAGCUAAUACCGCAUAACGUCGCAAGACCAAAGAGGGGGACCUUCGGGCCUCUUGCCAUCGGAUGUGCCCAGAUGGGAUUAGCUAGUAGGUGGGGUAACGGCUCACCUAGG